This 430-nucleotide unclassified non-coding RNA is filed under the name soil metagenome. Its description in RNAcentral is "partial contains 5.8S ribosomal RNA, internal transcribed spacer 2, and large subunit ribosomal RNA". The stretch from base 1 to 120 matches the Rfam family "5.8S ribosomal RNA", at positions 35 to 154 of the family's 154-position model. The record is from RNAcentral.
GAUGAAGAACGUAGCGAAAUGCGAUACGUAAUGUGAAUUGCAGAAUUCAGUGAAUCAUCGAAUCUUUGAACGCAUAUUGCGCUCUCUGGUAUUCCGGAGAGCAUGCUUGUUUGAGUAUCAGUAAACACCUCAACUCCCUUUUCUUUUUUGAAAUUGGAGCUGGACUUGAGUGAUCCCAACGCUUUCUUCCAAGAAAGUGGCGGGUUGCUUGAAAUGCAGGUACAGCUGAACUUUUCUCUGAGCUAUAAGCAUAUCUAUUUAGUCUGCCUAAAAAACAGAUUAUUACCUUUGCUGCAGCUAACAUAAAGGAGACUAGUUCUUGUGCUGACUGAUGCAGGAUUCACAGAGACAGCUUCGGCUGACUUUGUAAACUCGAUCUCAAAUCAAGUAAGACUACCCGCUGAACUUAAGCAUAUCAAUAAGCGGAGGA